RNAcentral lists this ribosomal RNA (983 nucleotides) under uncultured cyanobacterium. RNAcentral describes it as "bacterial SSU rRNA". It matches the Rfam family "Bacterial small subunit ribosomal RNA", at positions 29 to 1053 of the family's 1533-position model. The record is from RNAcentral. Lineage: Bacteria; Bacillati; Cyanobacteriota.
AUGAACGCUGGCGGUAUGCCUAACACAUGCAAGUCGAACGGUGUCUUCGGACAUAGUGGCGGACGGGUGAGUAACGCGUGAGAACCUACCUACAGGACGGGGACAACAGUUGGAAACGACUGCUAAUACCCGAUGAGCCGCAAGGUAAAAGAUUUAUCGCCUGAAGCAGGGCUCGCGUCUGAUUGGCUAGUUGGUGGGGUAAAAGCCUACCAAGGCGACGAUCAGUAGCUGGUCUGAGAGGAUGAGCAGCCACACUGGGACUGAGACACGGCCCAGACUCCUACGGGAGGCAGCAGUGGGGAAUUUUCCGCAAUGGGCGCAAGCCUGACGGAGCAAUACCGCGUGAGGGAGGAAGGCCCUUGGGUUGUAAACCUCUUUUGUUCGGGAAGAAGCAAUGACGGUACCGAACGAAUAAGCAUCGGCUAACUCCGUGCCAGCAGCCGCGGUAAUACGGAGGAUGCAAGCGUUAUCCGGAAUCAUUGGGCGUAAAGCGUCCGCAGGUGGUGAUUCAAGUCUGCGGUCAAAGACGGAAGCUCAACUUCUGAAAGGCCGUGGAAACUGAAACACUAGAGUCCGGUAGGGGUAGAGGGAAUUCCCAGUGUAGCGGUGAAAUGCGUAGAGAUUGGGAAGAACAUCGGUGGCGAAAGCGCUCUACUGGGCCGAGACUGACACUCAGGGACGAAAGCUAGGGUAGCGAAAGGGAUUAGAUACCCCUGUAGUCCUAGCCGUAAACGAUGGAGACUAGGCGUAGCUUGUAUCGACCCGAGCUGUGCCGAAGCUAACGCGUUAAGUCUCCCGCCUGGGGAGUACGCACGCAAGUGUGAAACUCAAAGGAAUUGACGGGGGCCCGCACAAGCGGUGGGGUAUGUGGUUUAAUUCGAUGCAACGCGAAGAACCUUACCAGGACUUGACAUGUCGCGAACCCUCAUGAAAGUGGGGGGGUGCCUUCCGGGAGCGCGAACACAGGUUGGUGCAUGGCUGUC